CCUACGGGCGGCAGCAGUGGGGAAUAUUGCACAAUGGGGGAAACCCUGAUGCAGCGACGCCGCGUGAGUGAAGAAGUAUUUCGGUAUGUAAAGCUCUAUCAGCAGGGAAGAAAAUGACGGUACCUGUUUAAGAAUCCGCGGAUAACUACGUGCCAGCAGCCGCGGUAAUACGUAGGGGGCAAGCGUUAUCCGGAUUUACUGGGUGUAAAGGGAGCGUAGACGGCAGGACAAGUCUGGAGUGAAAGGCUGGGGCUUAACCCCGGAACUGCUUUGGAAACUGUGCAGCUAGAGUGCAGGAGAGGUAAGCGGAAUUCCUGGUGUAGCGGUGAAAUGCGUAGAUAUUAGGAGGAACACCAGUGGCGAAGGCGGCUUACUGGACUGUAACUGACGUUGAGGCUCGAAAGCGUGGGGAGCAAACAGGAUUAGAUACCCUGGUAGUC
RNAcentral lists this ribosomal RNA (440 nucleotides) under uncultured bacterium. RNAcentral describes it as "partial 16S ribosomal RNA". It matches the Rfam family "Bacterial small subunit ribosomal RNA", at positions 338 to 795 of the family's 1533-position model. The record is from RNAcentral.